AGGGAUGUAGCUCAGUGGUAGAGCACUUGCCUCGCCUGCAUGAGGACCUGGUUUCCAUCCCCAGCACUGCAA
Molecule: transfer RNA, 72 nt
Filed under: Urocitellus parryii (Arctic ground squirrel)
Lineage: Eukaryota; Metazoa; Chordata; Mammalia; Rodentia; Sciuridae
Also listed under: 2 other names
Description: Spermophilus parryii (Arctic ground squirrel) tRNA
Rfam family: tRNA
About the family: Transfer RNA (tRNA) molecules are approximately 80 nucleotides in length.
Source: Rfam by way of RNAcentral